UAUUCUGCUGAGAUAGCAGUCCUGGCAAAAUAUUCAAGAAUGUUUCUGCUCCAGGUUCUUAUUUUAGCUUUAUUUUGGCCUUAUGGGCAUGCACAGUUGCUUCUCCAACAAAUCCAGACAUCUGUUACCAAAGAACAAUAUAAAAUAGCACGUAUGGACUGUAAAAUUUCUGGCCUGAAAAACUUCAAGAGUGCUGUUAUACAUUGGUAUCGACAAAUAUCCGGUAGAGCUCCAGAACGGAUUCUGUUCAUCUCAGAAUCAGAACCCAGCAUUGAUCAGCCCUCUGAUAAGAACAAGUUUCACUGUGAAAAGGAUCCUGACAAGCAAAUCUCUACCCUAACUGCAAAUUAUGUGACCCAUAAUGACACAGCUACCUACUACUGUGCUGUCUGGGAUCACACAGCAUUAGCAAACAAUAGAGAGUUUGUACAAAUACUCAUUCUGAAAACAGCCACAGCCAUUUCGACACAAGGAAUCAGACAUAUCCUUCAACUUCUUUGUCAGCUUCAGGCAGAACUAGAUACGCAACCAACUGGACAUCAGCCACAACUUCAUAUAUUUGGUACUCAGAAUUAUAUUAGAAGAGAUACUUAUGUGCAAAAUUUGCAGAUAUAAAGGCAUGUGCUCAAUUAUGA
Non-coding RNA from Gavialis gangeticus (Gharial), 635 nucleotides. The record is from the annotation of a RefSeq genome assembly. NCBI's taxonomy places the organism in Eukaryota, Metazoa, Chordata, Crocodylia, Gavialidae.